GCCCUGGUGGCUCAGUGGUUAAAGCGCUUGGCUGCUAACCAAAAGGUUGCGGUUCAAACCCACCAGCUGCU
Molecule: transfer RNA, 71 nt
Filed under: Loxodonta africana (African savanna elephant)
Lineage: Eukaryota; Metazoa; Chordata; Mammalia; Proboscidea; Elephantidae
Rfam family: tRNA
About the family: Transfer RNA (tRNA) molecules are approximately 80 nucleotides in length.
Source: Rfam by way of RNAcentral